This is a long non-coding RNA of Erinaceus europaeus (western European hedgehog), 1562 nucleotides long. RefSeq lists it as uncharacterized. The record is from RefSeq and is a predicted model, not a curated record. Lineage: Eukaryota; Metazoa; Chordata; Mammalia; Eulipotyphla; Erinaceidae. The transcript is spliced from 3 exons.
CCUGUAGGAACGUGUCAAAGAUGCCAAAGAAUUCAUCAGGCUGCAUCUUGCUGUCAUGCUCCCCGAAGUGUGUCAAGGCCCUGGAGAACUGCAGGGGCAAGGAAGAUGGAGUUCACAUGCCUGCAAAUGUAUGAAGCAUGAAGAAACAAAGCAACAGAAGCCCCAAAAUCUUUGCUGCAUGAAGUGUUGUCUGAAAACAGCAGCUGGUGGCGAUGUUGGUUUUAAGAAACAGACUUGCAAACCCCACCCCAGACUCUUUAAUAAGAGACUGACUGCAUUUCAAAAAGGCCCUCAGGUGAUUCCUGUGCAGAAUAAAGUCUGAGGUGAAUUUAUCAAUCUCCUAGUUGACAGGGGAUGGACUGAUCCCUUGGGCCACACUUUGGAUAAUGAUUUCACAUCCUAUAAAACUGGAAAUAGCCCCUUGGCCUCUGCCAUAGUUAAGACUGAAAUGCUCUUUCUCAUUUUUAAGCUCAGUCUCUAAGCCUCUUCUUCCCUGAACCUCCAUAUUUACCCACAUCACACCACAAAACACCAUACCACACCACACCACACCACAAAACACCAUACCACACCACAACACAACACACCACACCACACACAAUGAAGAACAAGAUGGGAAGGGCCUCUAGUUCCUAGGCAUGGGGGACAAUGGAUGAGUGAGUUCCCAUACUGAGCCAUACCAUCUGAGAAAUGCUCAGGGUAAGAGUGGUGACCAUAGUCCUAAAUCCCCAGUAAAGAGUCUCUAGGUUCCUCCUUGGCCCACAUGGAGAGGAAAUACAAGGAUCCUCUAAGAACAACUGUCUCCAAUGGUGUACUAUAUGCUACCUGUCCCUAUAUGACUUCCAGGGAAAUCUGGAUCCUUUUCUCUAUUCACUUGAAGCAAACUUAAGCACAUUGUGGAAGAUUAAUAGUUCAUUACAUACCACUAGCUAAAAGACAUACUGAAGAGUGAAUGGAUACAGUCUCAGACAGAGAGGGGAUGUCCCCUCUUCAAGAGUCUAAAUUUAAGCCCCAGACAAUCCAGUCAUUCAUUCUUAAGGGUUGGCAAAGUUGUAGGUACUCUGUCAAUUGUCUUAUGGCCAACCAAGAGCUUUGGGUCACAGAAACACAUCACCUGGCACAUGCUGCCUGGGUUCUAGUACCUGGCCCAGUGACAGGCAGUCACAAAGCCAAGUGGCACUAUGACAACAUCCCCUCCCCCACCCAUAGAGGAAAGGGUGAUGUACUCACCACCUCAACAGCUCUCAGCCCCUUUCUGAGGUUGCCCACCUCCUUCUCCAACUCUGCCAGGCUGUGGGGGGACAUGGAGAGAGGGGAGCUUAGGGUUAUUCAGGGAUGGAGGCAUACAAAACAUAAUGACUUGAGGAGUCACUCGCCAAUGCAGGGUAAGAACCUGGAGCUAUUAACACAUGGCCUAGGGAAAUGACCUUUCCUCCUCACUGUCUGUGCAUCUAUCAAAUCACAUUCUAUAGAUCCUUCCAGAUCAGAAACAUCUUGCCGUGUAUUAGAAAGUUUCGCAAACCCAGCCUCUGCUUUGAUUUGUUUGGCACCACCAGGUAAUA